GAGAGAGAGAGAGAAAAAUACGUAGAAAAUUAUUCGUUUCGUUUAUUUUUUAAAAAUAAAUUUAAUUAAAAAUAUAAAAUAAUUAAAUUUGAAAUUUAAGAUUUCGGAUACUGAUCAUCAAGUUCGUAAUUAGGCAACUGCGUUAGAUACGAUCGAUAAUGAUUUUAUUGAUUGCUAAAGUUGUAAAUAAUAAUAGUUUUGUUUUGUGCUUUUUUUUUUUUUGUAAA
This 227-nucleotide long non-coding RNA is filed under the name Ananas comosus (pineapple). RNAcentral describes it as "long non-coding RNA (ACOM_LNC004503)". Lineage: Eukaryota; Viridiplantae; Streptophyta; Magnoliopsida; Poales; Bromeliaceae. The record is from RNAcentral.